This 391-nucleotide unclassified non-coding RNA is filed under the name soil metagenome. RNAcentral describes it as "partial contains 5.8S ribosomal RNA, internal transcribed spacer 2, and large subunit ribosomal RNA". The stretch from base 1 to 122 matches the Rfam family "5.8S ribosomal RNA", at positions 35 to 154 of the family's 154-position model. The record is from RNAcentral.
GAUGAAGAACGUAGUGAAAUGCGAUACUUGGUGUGAAUUGCAGAAUCCCGUGAACCAUCGAGUCUUUGAACGCAAGUUGCGCCCGAAGCCAUUAGGCCGAGGGCACGCCUGCCUGGGCGUCACACGUCGUUGCCCCCCCAUCUACUCCUUCGGGAUUGCGGGGGGCGGAUGAUGGCCUCCCGUGCGCCUCGUCGCGCGGUUGGCAUAAAUGCCAAGUCCUCGGCGACGCACGCCACGACAAUCGGUGGUUGCGAAACCUCGGUUGCCCGUCGUGUGCGGUCGUCGCGCAUCGAGGGCUCGAAAAAAUUGUCGGGCUCCGGCUCGGCUUUCAACGCGACCCCAUGUCAGGCGGGGUUACCCGCUGAAUUUAAGCAUAUCAAUAAGCGGAGGA